CGGAACGUACCCUGGAGUGGGGGAUAACGUAACGAAAGUUACGCUAAUACCGCAUACGAUCUAAGGAUGAAAGUGGGGGAUUCGCAAGAACCUCAUGCUCGUGGAGCGGCCGAUAUCUGAUUAGCUAGUUGGUAGGGUAAAAGCCUACCAAGGCAUCGAUCAGUAGCUGGUCUGAGAGGACGACCACCCACACUGGAACUGACACACGGUCCACACUCCUACGGGAGGCAGCAGUGGGUAUUUUUGGACAAUGGGCGCAAGCCUGAUCCAGCAAUGCCGCGUGAGUGAAGAAGGCCUUCGGGUUGUAAAGCUCUUUUGUCAGGAAAGAAACGGUGGGAGCUAAUAUCUCCUGCUAAUGACGGUACCUGAAAAAUAAGCACCGGCUAACUACGUGCCAGCACCCGCGGUAAUACGUAGGGUGCAAGCGUUAAUCGGAAUUACUGGGCGUAAAGCGUGCGCAGGCGGUUUUGUAAGUCUGAUGUGAAAUCCCCGGGCUCAACCUGGGAAUUGCAUUGGAGACUGCAAGGCUAGAAUCUGGCAGAGGGGGGUAUAAUUCCACGUGUAGCAGUGAAAUGCAUAUAUAUGUGGAGGAACACCGAUGGCGAAGGCAGCCCCCUGGGUCAAGAUUGACGCUCAUGCACGAAAGCGUGGGGAGCAAACAGGAUUACAUACCCUGGUAGUCCACGCCCUAAACGAUGUCUACUAUUUGUCGGGUCUUAAUUGACUUGG
Molecule: ribosomal RNA, 729 nt
Filed under: uncultured bacterium
Lineage: Bacteria
Description: bacterial SSU rRNA
Rfam family: Bacterial small subunit ribosomal RNA
Source: RNAcentral